GGAGAGCGUGGUUACACGUUCGAUAGUUGUCUACUUCGCUGAUUACUAUUUGGAAGGAUGACUUCUCUACCUUCAGUUUGAAAGUUUCCUUUUUCUAACUUAAGCCAUUGACCACGGGUUCUACUGUCCGUGGCAAGAACAAAAUUAUGUCUUAUCGCAGGGUUGGGCGUAGUAGAGGAUUUGUAGGUAAGAAUUACAUUUUCUAUGAUUCUCCUCUCUUCUAGCGGCUGUAAUUUCAUUAAAUGAAGCAUGGUGUCGUAUGACGGUCUAUGGAAUCCCAAAGGGAUAUCACACACAGUUUGCAAAUUCCAAAUGAGAACGGAUGAAUGUGUUGAGUAGUUUAGUAACUGAUGUUGUGGAUGCCUUAGUGAAAGAUUUCCUACUACAAAAUUUGCGUUUUUGACUACGUUGCCAAUAUGAAGAGAUCAUGAUAACUCGGAUGUUAAGGCAACCCUUAAGUCCUUGUGAGAUUCUAGGCUUUGUACUGUUGUCUGAUUGUCGACAAAAUUUUUACAUCGUCGGCCCAGAUCACAAAGGUUGAUUGUACAUUACUAACCAAAACGAGUGUAUAAGCAAUGAAGAGGAGAGGUCCUAAUACCUAUCCUUGUGGGAAGCAGCUUAGAACAGACCGUUUGCUACGGAAUUUGUCAAAUAUGUUAACUAAAAAAAAUUGUCAUUGAGGAAUGAUCUGUUCCACUUCAGCAAUGAACCUCCAAUGCCCUAGAAAUCAAAAUAUACGCGGUCGAUAGGAGAACUGUUACCCAAAUUCCUGGACGAGUCUCUAAUACGACAGACAAAAUUGGUCUUUACCGAUUUACCAAAAAGGAAACCGUGUUGAUGUUCAGCAUAUUAUCGACAAUUCCAUCGUUUUUACUGCAAGUGACGUUAAACUAAUUGCACCAGAGUUAGUCCCAUUUAAUUUAUCACCUUUCUUAAACUUUGUAAUACGGCCACUUUCCAGUUAGAUAAUUCACUAGUAUUGAAAUAUUCUUACACAAGCAUGCUUAAUGAUUUUGUCUGAGCACAAGCACAGUUAACUAAAAUUGCCGAAUCUGUCCUAUCUGGAUCCGGCGACACAGUUUUCCUCAGUUUCGUUAGUGUGCUGAAUACAAGAUCUUCUGUAAACCUUAAAUCCAAGAUCACUAACUGACAUCUUGUCGUGUUGAAUCUAGAAGGUACAAAAGGAGGUUUUCUCCUGUGUACAUUUCUUGAAAAAUGUCAGCUAUUGUUUUUGCUACUUCAAGGUUGUUAGUUAAAAUGAAGCCAUAUCUAUGCCGGAGUUGGGGUUUAUUGACAGGGUUCCCGAAACUGUCACGUGUAUCAAUAUAUUAUUUAUAUAACUAAAUAAAUUUAUUGAGUUCGGGUCUGGGAAUUUACCAGUGGCUGGAUUUUCUUCAGGAACAGAUCCUGAACAAGUGCACGGUUGGUACGAAGAGUAAGCUUUUUAGUUUUUUUUUGGUGCUUCACGUACCUGUUCUUAAUGCUAGUAUGUGUAAAAUGAAGGUAGACUUGAAACUGUGUCUCCAAACCAUUUAUAUUACUUGAGUGUAAUGGGAAGGAUGUUAGCAUCUCCCAGCACAGUUUCUAUAAAUUUUGAGAACUGGUUAAAUUUCAGGGAGAAAGUGUUAUAAUCUGUCGAUUCAAAGAAAUGUAUUAUAGGUGCUCUUAAAACUAUCACUUAAAACAAAUAAAAGAACAAUUAUUAGAAGUAUUCAUAUGUCCCUUUAUUUUGCUCUACAACUGCAUCAAAACUUAGACGUAACAAAUAAAGCAACCCAGAGGGGUGCUUCGUUAGAUACUUACAUGCAUAAAAAAAAUACUUAUGUUCUAAAUCGUGUUCAUCCACUUCUUCAUUAUACGAACCUGUAGUACUGCAUUCUGGUUGAAUUGUAGUGAAAUUACUAAGGACGAGGUAUGAGUAACGUCUUGAAACCUUUGCUGCUUACAUAGGGAUGUUCUAGUUGCCAAGAAAAUGCAGAUAAAUGAAGACAGACCUUGAACGAAUGAACGAAUCGAAAUAGUUCAUUUUAUGAAAUUUAAAUUACGGAAUCAAGACAUUUGCAGAAACUUUGCACAGAUAAGCGAAUAGUGAGCAUCGUCGGAUUUUGCUGCAUUGAUGCAACUUCACCUUAAUGGGGGUCGAAAUAGCUUCCAUACUUAGAUACACAGGGUUGUUAUAAAUGUUUCGUACAUCGUCGAUUUUGGAAAGCAUAAUACGGUGUUAUUUUUUUGACAUAACGAGUUUUUGAGUACAAAGAGUCCAUCUGACAACGAUACGUUUCUAAUUUUUUCUAAGUCAUAAAAUUUUUAAGCAUGUAAAGACUUCCAAUAAAGAACCGGAACGAUAACUUA
Molecule: long non-coding RNA, 2352 nt
Organism: Zophobas morio
Lineage: Eukaryota; Metazoa; Arthropoda; Insecta; Coleoptera; Tenebrionidae
Exons: 3
Source: RefSeq, a predicted model, not a curated record